RNAcentral lists this ribosomal RNA (439 nucleotides) under uncultured bacterium. RNAcentral's name for it is "partial 16S ribosomal RNA". It matches the Rfam family "Bacterial small subunit ribosomal RNA", at positions 339 to 795 of the family's 1533-position model. The record is from RNAcentral.
CUACGGGUUGCUCCAGUGAGGAAUAUUGCACAAUGGGGGGAACCCUGAUGCAGCAACGCCGCGUGGAGGAUGACGCAUUUCGGUGUGUAAACUCCUUUUAUAUGUCAAGAAAAUGACGGUAGCAUAUGAAUAAGCACCGGCUAACUCCGUGCCAGCAGCCGCGGUAAUACGGAGGGUGCAAGCGUUACUCGGAAUCACUGGGCGUAAAGGACGCGUAGGCGGGUUGGAAAGUCAGGUGUGAAAUCCUACAGCUUAACUGUAGAACUGCACUUGAAACUUCUAGUCUAGAGUAUGGGAGGGGGGGAUGGAAUUAGUGGUGUAGGGGUAAAAUCCGUAGAUAUCACUAGGAAUACCUAAAGCGAAGGCGAUCUCCUGGAACAUUACUGACGCUAAGGCGUGAAAGCGUGGGGAGCAAACAGGAUUAGAUACCCUUGUAGUC